CAUGGCGGCCCCCAGCGAACCGCAGCCUUUGACCUUCUGCAGUUGGCGGCCGGGGCCUGGAGGCUGGGAAUGUCCCUGAGGAGCUGCGGUUGGCGCUGGCUCCAGGCCCGAGGCCUGCGGGGGGCACAGGCCCCGGACCCGGUCCUCCGCUACAUGGGCAAAGGCCGCAGGAAGAGCCGCGUGUUCGUCUGGGGAUUCGCCCACACCGGGGCCCUGGGCCUCCCGCACCUGGUGCUGGGCCGCAGCGGAGGCCAGAAACCCCGGCAAAUCCAACUGAGGCCGUGCGGAGUGGAGCUGGAACAGAGGAUCUCAUCUGCGGCCUGUGGCUAUGGGUUCACUUUAUUGGCUUCACAAACUCGUGACAUCACCAAGGUCUGGGGAAUGGGCUUGAACAAAGAUUCCCAGAUUGGAUUUCACCGGAGUCGGGCAGAUAGGACAAAGGGCUAUGAAUUUGUUCUGGAACCAUCACCAGUGCCGUUACCUCUAGAGAGGCCUCAGGAAACCCGUGUGAUCCAGGUGUCAUGUGGGAGAGCACAUUCGCUACUGCUGACUGACAACGAAGGAGUUUUCAGUAUGGGAAACAAUGCCUACGGACAGUGUGGGAGAAGCAUCGUGGACAAUGAGAUUUAUAGUGGCAGCCAAAUUAUUCACCGAAUUGAAGAUUUAGAUGACAAAAUUGUUGAGGUUACAUGCGGACAGGAUCACAGUCUCUUCAGAACAGAGAAGGGCGAGAUCUAUUCCUGUGGCUGGGGAGCUGACGGACAAACAGGUCUUGGGCACUAUGGUGUCACCUGUAAAUUGACCAGGCUCACAGGCGAUAUUGCUGGAGUCAAUAUUGUACAGACAGCAACAUACGGAGACUUCUGUUUAGCCGUAUCCAAAGAUGGGAAUCUGUUUGGCUGGGGCAACUCUGAGUAUCUUCAGUUCUCUGCCGUUACUGAGGCCACACAAGUCAGUGUUCCAAAGCACCUUCCUUUUAAAGGAGUUGGAAAGAUAAAGCAGGCAGCAUGUGGUGGGACCCAUGCUGCAAUACUUAACAGAGAAGGCAAUGUCUUUGUCUGGGGUUAUGGAAUCCUAGGAAAGGGCUGCAAUCUCUCUGAAUCUGGAAUGCCAGAGAUGAUCCCAUCAACGCUGUUUGGCUGCUCAGAGUUCACGCCUGAGGUCCAAGUUGACCAUAUUCGUUGUGGCCUCAACCAUUUUGCUGCCAUCACCAAUCGUGGUGAGCUUUUCGUGUGGGGCAAGAAUCUCCGAGGCUGCCUUGGCAUUGGAAGCAUGGAUGAUCAGUACUUUCCCUGGCGGGUGACAGUACCAGGCAACGUCGUGGAUGUGGCUUGUGGGGUGGACCACAUGGUGGCACUUACAAAAUCAUUCAUCUGAACUGAUACUAGCUGCACGCAAUGAGAGUUUGCAACAUGGAUCUUCUUUGAUUCUGGACCAAAAUCAGCUGCCCAGGAUCCCUGAUCUUCUUCCAGUAUCCACAGAAGAAACGUACUGCUGACAGCUUCGCAAACUGCUGAUUACUCCUCAUCCAGAUGUUAGCAUUUAACAAGAAUGCAGGGCUAGCAAGUAGUCAGUAUCAACUGGCUUAACCAGCUGCUGGUUAUAAUAAAUCAAAGCAAAAUAGACAAUAGAUUUAUUGAAAGAUCCUCAUGUUGGCAGCUGUCAGAUUAUGAUCAAGAUAAAAUAAAACCAGUAAUAAUUCACUACAUAUUUACAGGCAAUCAUGAAGAAUAAAUGAAACAUGAGGUAAUAAAUCGGCUGCACAAUUUAAGUAUACAAAUAAUUGCAAUAUAUUGCAAAAUGUAGGUCUGUUUAAUUUACAGAAUAGAAAGAACACACACUCCACAAGAGGACACACUUCACGAUUCUACAAUAUGGGCAAGUGGUGUCAUAGUGGGAUAAUUACUAGACUAUUUGAGAUCCAGGUAGUGUUCUGGGACUGUGGUUCGGAUCCUGCCACAGAAGAAGGUGGAAUUUAAAUUUAGUAAAAUAUUACCAGUCUGAUGAUGACUGUGAUGCCACAGUCAAUUGGCAUAAAUAUCCAUCUGACUCACUAAUGUCCUUUUAGGAAGGGAGACUGCCAUCCUAUACGUGACUGCAGGCCCACAGCAAAGUGAUUGACUCUUAACUGCUCUCAGGGAAUUAAAGAUGGAAAAUAAAUGCUGGCCAGUAACACCCACAAUGAAUGAAUAAAAAAACACACACAUCUGCACAGGGAUUAUCAUUACUUUUAGCUCCUGCCAUAUGCUUUUUAUAUUGAAGUCCAUAGAUUAUAUGUUGUCAUAGUGUCCUUAUAAAAUUCUCAAUCAUUUCCAUCCUCUCAUGUGUUUUAU
RNA transcript from Stegostoma tigrinum, 2333 nucleotides. It is a transcript of the gene named RCC1 like, with no coding region annotated. NCBI's taxonomy places the organism in Eukaryota, Metazoa, Chordata, Chondrichthyes, Orectolobiformes, Stegostomatidae. The transcript has 12 exons. The record is from RefSeq and is a predicted model, not a curated record.